Molecule: long non-coding RNA, 493 nt
Organism: Gadus macrocephalus (Pacific cod)
Lineage: Eukaryota; Metazoa; Chordata; Actinopteri; Gadiformes; Gadidae
Exons: 5
Source: RefSeq, a predicted model, not a curated record
UUAGCUGCAUUUUACACAGUGACGUGGGGGCUAUUUAACCACCUCGACCUGCAGAACGUGUCUUAAAGUACUACAGCCUCGGGAAGCAAAGGUGAACAACAUGAAGACAUUUGCGCUGGUUUUUUUCGUUUUCCUGAUCUUGGCUGCAGUUUGCACAGAUGCCAAUCCCAUCAUGAAGGAGAGCGUUGCUAAGCAGCUCUUCCGCAGCAAGAGGCAGGAUAAUCCCUACGAGUGGGAGAUCAUGCUGGACCUGAUCGAGAGGUGCUGGGAGCAGAAAUCAGUUCCGGUGAUGGUCUAGCGCCGAGCUGGAGGGGACCGCGUCCAGGGGCCCCCCACAACGUGACCCGACGGACGCACGACGACAACGAAGGCGACGACGAGGAAUCAAAGACGAGCGCGCGCUUCUAUGUUGGGCUGUUUCCCUUCAGGCCAUCAAGUGAUUCACUAUAGAGUGAUAUCAUCUAAACAUUAAAAGCGUAGGCCUAGACCCUCA